UCCCGCGCCGCCUAAGUUGUACAUGAAUGACUCUAAUGCCCACGGAGGGUGUCAGGCCCGUGUGGCGGUAAAAGACCCCCGAAGGGGGGAAGGUACGGGACUGCGGAAAGGGCCUCUCCUUAGAGUCGGGUUGCCUGAAACCGCAACCUAAAGUAGGUGGUAAACUCCAUCUAAGGCUAAAUACGACCACGAGACCGAUAGCGAACAAGUACCGUGAGGGAAAGUUGAAACAGAACCCUGUAGAGAGAGUUCAAGAGAACGUGAAACCGUUAAGAGGCUAAACGGGUGGAGAUUCGAAGAUCGAACUGGGGGGAUUCAGUUCGUUCGGUAGUCGGGAGGGGGUUUCGGGAUCACAAGAGCGACCCCCGAGCGUGCGGCUCUAAUGUCGUAGUCCGCUCUAGGGGGCGCGGCCCGUCCCCUGCCCGGCGCCGGCGGGCGAUUUUCCCCCCGCAGUAGGUCGCCGCGAUCCGUUGGGAGGGCGUCUGAGGCCCGGGCUUUGGCAGGAACCGACGUCGUCGCUGUCGCUAAAGGCUGGUGCCCCCGUGGUUGUCAGUCUGGCAGAAGCGGCGUCUGGGGAUCCCCCGGUGUAAGUUACUGUUAUUAUUAUUAUGACAGUAAUCCUUGUCUUGCUCUCCCGACGGUCGCUCCUUGGGGCGGCGUCGCCGGCAACGGCGGCGCUCGCCUUCGCGGUGUGCAAAGAGUCGAGGCUCUACCCGACCCGUCUUGAAACACGGACCAAGGAGUCCAACAUGUAUGCGAGUCAUUGGGCUCACUAAACCCACAGGCGCAAUGAAAGUGAAAAGUGCUUUGCCUCGUGCAUAGCUACAGGGCCGAUCCCUCGGUCCGGACGACCUCUGCCUCUCCCUGGACGGAGUGACAAUGCCUUCCUCCCCGGGGAGCUACCGCUGGUAGUUGGGCUAAGGACCCGUCCGGUGCCGCAAGCCUCUCCUCCUGCAUUAUUAUUAUUAGUAGGAGGAAGGGGGGCGCAGGUCCGGGACUCGCCAUGACGAACAGCUGUCUCUCUGGCUGGCUUUACCGGCUAGCUUGCGGAGCUUCUGGAUGUGUCGGCGAGUACCUAGAGCAUAAAUGUUGGUACCCGAAAGAUAGUGAACUAUGCCUGGCCAGGAUGAAGCCAGGGGAAACCCUGGUGGAGGUCCGUAGCGAUUCUGACGUGCAAAUCGAUCGUCAGAGCUGGGUAUAGGGGCGAAAGACCAAUCGAACUAUCUAGUAGCUGGUUCCCUCCGAAGUUUCCCUCAGGAUAGCUGGCACUCGUCAAUAACGAGUUUCAUCCGGUAAAGCGAAUGAUUAGGGGUGUUGGGGACGAAAUGUCCUCAGCCUAUUCUCAAACUUUAAAUGGGUGAGGUGCCGGGCUUGCUUUAUGUGCCCUCACGGGCCUUGAAGCCCCGGACACGAAUCGGAGUGCUUAGUGGGCCAAUUUUGGUAAGCAGAACUGGCGCUGUGGGAUGAACCUAACGUCGAGUUAAGGGGCCUAAAUGGAUGCUAAUUCCGAUACCAUGGAAGGGAGUUGCUUGCUAUAGACAGCAGGACGGUGGCCAUGGAAGUUGGAAUCCGCUAAGGAGUGUGUAACAACUCACCUGCCGAAGCAAGUAACCCUGAAAAUGGCAUGGCGCUCAAGCAUCCUCCCGAUACUCGACCGCCGGGCGCACUAUUGGCUGCAACAAGGAGGUCUCGAGGCCCCGGUGAGUAGGAGGAGCGCGGUGGUGAGCGUUGAAGGAUUCGGCGUGAGCCGGUCUGGAGCCGCCACUGGUGCGGAUCUUGGUGGUAGUAGCAAAUAUUCGAGCGAGACCACCCUCGUUGACCGACGCGGAGAAGGGUUCCACGCCAACAUCGCUUGGUCGUGGGUUAGUCGUACCUAAGCCCGGGGAUAGCAUCCCGAUUUACUAGGUGUGCUGGCUUUCCUGUCCCAAGUCAUAAUUAUGCACCACCCUGGUAAUCGUAAUUACUGUCCACGCUCGCGCCUCGCAUGCGUAUUCCCCACUGAUUGACUGCUGACGACAGGCAGACUUACUGUACUGACUACUACUGC
Molecule: ribosomal RNA, 2047 nt
Filed under: Plesiopenaeus armatus
Lineage: Eukaryota; Metazoa; Arthropoda; Malacostraca; Decapoda; Aristeidae
Description: eukaryotic LSU rRNA
Rfam family: Eukaryotic large subunit ribosomal RNA
Source: RNAcentral